RNAcentral lists this ribosomal RNA (200 nucleotides) under uncultured bacterium. RNAcentral describes it as "partial 16S ribosomal RNA". It matches the Rfam family "Bacterial small subunit ribosomal RNA", at positions 333 to 525 of the family's 1533-position model. The record is from RNAcentral.
CGAUUCCUACGGGAGGCAGCAGUGGGGAAUAUUGCACAAUGGGCGCAAGCCUGAUGCAGCCAUGCCGCGUGUAUGAAGAAGGCCUUCGGGUUGUAAAGUACUUUCAGUAGGGAGGAAGGUGGUUAAGUUAAUACCUUAAUCAUUUGACGUUACCUACAGAAGAAGCACCGGCUAACUCCGUGCCAGCAGCCGCGGUAAUA